Molecule: ribosomal RNA, 206 nt
Filed under: Klebsiella pneumoniae
Lineage: Bacteria; Pseudomonadati; Pseudomonadota; Gammaproteobacteria; Enterobacterales; Enterobacteriaceae
Also listed under: 2 other names
Description: partial 16S ribosomal RNA
Rfam family: Bacterial small subunit ribosomal RNA
Source: RNAcentral
GUAGGUGGGGUAACGGCUCACCUAGGCGACGAUCCCUAGCUGGUCUGAGAGGAUGACCAGCCACACUGGAACUGAGACACGGUCCAGACUCCUACGGGAGGCAGCAGUGGGGAAUAUUGCACAAUGGGCGCAAGCCUGAUGCAGCCAUGCCGCGUGUGUGAAGAAGGCCUUCGGGUUGUAAAGCACUUUCAGCGGGGAGGAAGGCG